AUGUUACUCUCUCCGUCUGAAAUAACUUGUCACAAAACAAAAAUGGAUAGAAAUGGAUGUAUCUAGAACUAAAAUACAUCUAGAUACAUUCAUUUAUGUGACAAGUAAUUUCGGACGGAGGGAGUACCUU
Non-coding RNA from Triticum aestivum (bread wheat), 130 nucleotides. Lineage: Eukaryota; Viridiplantae; Streptophyta; Magnoliopsida; Poales; Poaceae. The record is from Rfam.